CCUACGGGUGGCUGCAGUGAGGAAUAUUGGUCAAUGGGCGCAAGCCUGAACCAGCCAUCCCGCGUGCAGGAAGACGGCCCUAUGGGUUGUAAACUGCUUUUCCAGGGGACGAAUAGUUUCUACGUGUAGAGACCUGACGGUACCUUGGGAAUAAGCAUCGGCUAACUCCGUGCCAGCAGCCGCGGUAAUACGGAGGAUGCAAGCGUUAUUCGGAUUCAUUGGGUUGAAAGCGUGCGUAGGCGGCAGAGUAUAAAUACUACAGCUUAACUGUAGAACUGCCAUUGAUACUGUUAGUCUUGAGUUUGGUUAAGGUAGGCGGAAUGUGUAAUGUAGCGGUGAAAUGCUUAGAUAUUACACAGAACACCAAUUGCGAAGGCAGCUUACUGGACCGACACUGACGCUGAGGCACGAAAGCGUGGGGAUCGAACAGGAUUAGAUACCCGGGUAGUC
Molecule: ribosomal RNA, 450 nt
Filed under: uncultured bacterium
Lineage: Bacteria
Description: partial 16S ribosomal RNA
Rfam family: Bacterial small subunit ribosomal RNA
Source: RNAcentral